Molecule: ribosomal RNA, 136 nt
Filed under: uncultured bacterium
Lineage: Bacteria
Description: partial 16S ribosomal RNA
Rfam family: Bacterial small subunit ribosomal RNA
Source: RNAcentral
UGAGGAAUCUUGCACAAUGGGCGAAAGCCUGAUGCAGCGACGCCGCGUGGGCGAUGAAGGUCUUCGGAUCGUAAAGCCCUUUUCUGCGUGACGAGAAAGGACGGUAGCUCAGGAAGAAGCGUCGGCUAACUACGUG